UUUAGGGAGACCCAAAGCAAUUCAAAAUGAUCAAUUCAAAAUUCAAAAUAAAGAGUAAAACUUUUGAAUUUUGAACUUUGAACUUUGAAUUGAUUUUAUCCCGAGGUCGGUCGCAAGGAGAGUGUAAGUUUUCAAACUAUAACUUAGGUUCGGAUAUGGGCUAUUAGCUCAGGUGGUUAGAGCGCACCCCUGAUAAGGGUGAGGUCCCUGGUUCGAGUCCAGGAUGGCCCACCUGAAGAGAAUUCAAAAGUCAAAAUUCAGAAUUCAAAAAUAGAAAAUUCAUCUUAAUUUUGAACAAUGUAAUUGAUAAUUUUGAAUUGUAGUAGGGGGGUAUAGCUCAGUUGGUAGAGCGCCUGCUUUGCAAGCAGGAUGUCAGGAGUUCGAGUCUCCUUACCUCCACCUGCGCCCUAAGUAAUUAACUUUUGUGAUUCCACCCUUGUUGAGUGUGCUCAAAUACCAUCAAAAAAAGGUAGAGUGCACGCAAGUGAGAAAAGCAAAAGCAAGUUUAUAAUCCGAAAAGAAAUUGGAGAAAAUUCAGCAUCUUGUGAGUCAAAGCAAGAAUGCUGGGGUAUUUCCAGCAAAAGAACCUUGAAAACUGCAUAGAAACGUGAAAUUUGUCAGGUAGUUAACUAUCAACAGUAGUUAACACUUCCAUAAAAAGUAGCAAUGAUUGUUUGU
RNAcentral lists this transfer RNA (678 nucleotides) under Brasilonema corcovadense BZ-HDL-007. Its description in RNAcentral is "16S-23S ribosomal RNA intergenic spacer". The stretch from base 327 to 399 matches the Rfam family "tRNA". The record is from RNAcentral. Lineage: Bacteria; Bacillati; Cyanobacteriota; Cyanophyceae; Nostocales; Scytonemataceae.